This 889-nucleotide ribosomal RNA is filed under the name uncultured bacterium. RNAcentral describes it as "bacterial SSU rRNA". It matches the Rfam family "Bacterial small subunit ribosomal RNA", at positions 8 to 916 of the family's 1533-position model. The record is from RNAcentral.
AGAGUUUGAUCAUGGCUCAGGAUGAACGCUGGCGGCGUGCCUAACACAUGCAAGUCGAACGGUUAACCCACUUCGGGUGGUCAUACAGUGGCGAACGGGUGAGUAACACGUGACCAACCUGCCCCCCUCUCCGGGACAACCUCGGGAAACCGUGGCUAAUACCGGAUGCUCCUUCCCCUCCGCAUGGAGGGGUCGGGAAAGCCCAGGCGGAGGGGGAUGGGGUCGCGGCCCAUCAGGUAGACGGCGGGGUAGCGGCCCACCGCGCUUUCGACGGGUAGCCGGGUUGAGAGACCGACCGGCCACAUUGGGACUGAGAUACGGCCCAGACUCCUACGGGAGGCAGCAGUGGGGAAUUUUGCGCAAUGGGGGAAACCCUGACGCAGCAACGCCGCGUGCGGGAAGACGGCCUUCGGGUUGUAAACCGCUUUCAGCAGGGAAGACCGACGACGGUACCUGCAGAGGAAGCCCCGGCUAACUACGUGCCAGCAGCCGCGGUAAUACGUAGGGGGCGAGCGUUAUCCGGAUUCAUUGGGCGUAAAGCGCGCGUAGGCGGCGCGCCAAGCGGAACCUCUAACCUCGGGGCUCAACCUCGAGCCGGGUUCCGAACUGGCGCGCUCGAGUUCGGUAGAGGCAGGCGGAAUUCCCGGUGUAGCGGUGGAAUGCGCAGAUAUCGGGAAGAACACCGAUGGCGAAGGCGGCCUGCUGGGCCGACACUGACGCUGAGGUGCGAAAGCUAGGGGAGCGAACAGGAUUAGAUACCCUGGUAGUCCUAGCCGUAAACGAUGGACGCUAGGUGUGGGGAGGAUCGCCUCUCCGUGCCGAAGCCAACGCAUUAAGCGUCCCGCCUGGGGAGUACGGCCGCAAGGCUAAAACUCAAAGGAAUUGACGG